UACGUAGGGUGCGAGCGUUGUUCGGAAUUAUUGGGCGUAAAGGGUUCGUAGGAGGUUCAUUAAGAUUGGUGUGAAAUCCCAAGGCUCAACCUUGGAACUGCAUUGAUUACUGAUGAACUAGAGUAUCGUAGAGGAGAGCGGAAUUCCAGGUGUAGCGGUGGAAUGCGUAGAUAUCUGGAAGAACACCGACAGCGAAGGCAGCUCUCUGGGCGAAAACUGACUCUGAGGAACGAAAGCGUGGGUAGCAAACAGG
This 253-nucleotide ribosomal RNA is filed under the name uncultured bacterium. RNAcentral describes it as "partial 16S ribosomal RNA". It matches the Rfam family "Bacterial small subunit ribosomal RNA", at positions 524 to 776 of the family's 1533-position model. The record is from RNAcentral.